UCUGCUAUUGGCUGGGAUCUCUGGAGAGCUAGUAACAUGCUCCCUCCAUCCUUGAAAUAUAAGACGAUUCAAAUUUUGUACUCAAAUAUGAGGCAUCUAGGAAUUUCGGACAACUUUGAGUAUUUAAUUACCGUUUCUUUCUCCCAUUGACAGCCGUAUCCGCUCGAGAAAAAUCUCCACCUCACGAGACUUUCCUAAUCCC
RNAcentral lists this long non-coding RNA (202 nucleotides) under Setaria italica (foxtail millet). RNAcentral describes it as "long non-coding RNA (SITA_LNC004538)". Lineage: Eukaryota; Viridiplantae; Streptophyta; Magnoliopsida; Poales; Poaceae. The record is from RNAcentral.